This 522-nucleotide ribosomal RNA is filed under the name uncultured bacterium. Its description in RNAcentral is "bacterial SSU rRNA". It matches the Rfam family "Bacterial small subunit ribosomal RNA", at positions 8 to 525 of the family's 1533-position model. The record is from RNAcentral.
AGAGUUUGAUCAUGGCUCAGAACGAACGCUGGCGGCGUGGAUUAGGCAUGCAAGUCGUGCGCGAAAGAGGGCUUCGGUCCUUGAGUAGAGCGGCGAACUGGUGAGUACAAGGUGACUAACGUGCCCUCACGUGGGGGAUAACCCCGGGAAACCGGGGCUAAUACCGCAUGGUCUCUUUCGUCUACGGACGGGCGAGUAAAGCAGCAAUGCGCGAGAGGAUCGGGUCACCUCCCAUUAGGUAGUUGGUGUGGUAACGGCACACCAAGCCUGCGAUGGGUAGCUGGACUGAGAGGUUGGCCAGCCACACUGGGACUGAGAUACGGCCCAGACUCCUACGGGGGGCAGCAGUCUAGAGGCUUCGGCAAUGGACGAAAGUCUGACCGAGCGACGCCGCGUGCGGGAUGAAGGGCUUCGGCUUGUAAACCGCUUUUCUUUGGGAAGAAGGCCCGGUUCGUGAAAUCGGGUUUGACGGUACCAGAGGAAUAAGCCCCGGCUAACUCCGUGCUAGCCGCCGCGGUAAUC